UCUGAAAGAUUCUGACACACUCACUAGGGGAGGACUGUUCUGGGCUUCCAAGGAGGCCACAAGCUCUGCUAGAACAUCUUUAGCCAUCCCAAGUUCUAGACCACCAAGUAAUGUACUCUUUGGUAACCAGGUCUUUUCUGUUUUUGCCUACUCCACCUCCUGGGUCAGCAGGGGCUGUGCAGAGACCCCUCAGCUCUUUGCCAGGUUAGUGGUGACUCUGAGGAGCAGAGCUUCAGAUACUCUGUGGGUCUGGGCUGUGAAAGGGCAGCAGCAGGGCCAGAUCCAGCCAUCCACACUGCAUGCCCCCCUCCCAUCCGCUCUAGCUUCAGGGUUCGAGGAUCACACGCUGUCUCUGUUCUUCUGCAGGUACAAAGAGCAGGACUCAGAUCAGCAAGCGCUGUGCCAUCACUUGUCCCAACUCCAACGAUCUCUUUGAGUGGUCAGUGAAAAAUAUUCAGGCCAGGAUCACCAGACGAUGCUGUUCGUGGGAUCACUGCAACAGAGCACCUGACAGCUGGGAGGGGUUCAGAGCCUUACCAGGGAGGCUCCUGCUGCCAAUGGGUCUGGGCCUCUUCUGCAUCCUGUUGUGAGAAACAUUGUCCUGGGAUACCCUUCCCUGACACACACAGCCUCAAACCCCACCUUCAUCCAUUCCAGGACUUACAAGGCAAAGCACAGUCCCUGAGCUAGAAGGGAGGACACCAUACCCUUUGCUUAGGACCCAGGAGCCUGCUCCUACCUAACAUCCUGGCCCACAAAGAAUAAAACCCUUCUGCUCCUCAUGGAGAUGGACAAGGAAUUUUUCCAAAGCAGGCCACAGGCUUCUUCAAGAAAGCCCUGGACCUUUAGCACACGGUCAAGCACUAUGAGAGGCAGAUGGACCUGAAGAAGCCAGAGGUGCAGGAUACUCUGACACUGCUCUACCUGUGUCCCCUGUUCAUGCACGGGAACUAGGACAUCUCACUCCUCAGAGACAGUAAACUGCUGCUUCCCCACA
RNAcentral lists this long non-coding RNA (997 nucleotides) under Rattus norvegicus (Norway rat). Its description in RNAcentral is "long non-coding RNA NONRATT026029". The record is from RNAcentral. Lineage: Eukaryota; Metazoa; Chordata; Mammalia; Rodentia; Muridae.